RNAcentral lists this ribosomal RNA (379 nucleotides) under Leiobunum uxorium. RNAcentral's name for it is "partial 12S ribosomal RNA". It matches the Rfam family "Microsporidia small subunit ribosomal RNA", at positions 787 to 1311 of the family's 1311-position model. Lineage: Eukaryota; Metazoa; Arthropoda; Arachnida; Opiliones; Sclerosomatidae. The record is from RNAcentral.
UUGGCGGUAUCUUAUCCUUAUAGGGGAACUUGACCAGUGAUCGAUAGUCCCCGUUUUAUCUUACUUUUAUUAAUGUUUGUAUACCGUUGUUGUUAGAUUACCUUGCAUAGUUAGUGAGUUUUCUUAAUAGAUACAGCUAAGCUGUAUCUUUUACUUCAAAUCAAGGUGCAGUUUAUGUAGAAGUUGAGUUGAGUUACUUUGUUUAAGAAACUGGAGGGUAAUAUGAAAUUUUACUUGAAAUAGGAUUUAUUAGUAAGUUAGUAGUAAUUAGAUUAGCUGUAAAGGGGUCUGAGAUAUGUACAAAUCGCCCGUCACUCUGGCUUUAACUAUCUAGAUAAGUCGUAACAAAGUAGAUGUAAGGGAACUUGCAUCUAGAUGA